UUGCUCAUCCAUGCAGGUCUCCUGCCCUCUUUGCUGGACUUCUUCCUCAGAGGGAUGCACAGAUCUUGAGCCUGGAGGAAGGGAUGUAUAUGUAUAUUAUACGAGUGCUCUUGAAGGAAAACUUAACAAGUUGCUCAAACACCUGCUUGCCAUGAGGCAAACACUGAGCUGA
This 172-nucleotide long non-coding RNA is filed under the name Struthio camelus australis. RNAcentral's name for it is "lncRNA (ENSSCUG00000002745.1)". The record is from RNAcentral. Lineage: Eukaryota; Metazoa; Chordata; Aves; Struthioniformes; Struthionidae.